UGACCACCUGUCGGGAAUUGCUGCACUGACCAGACUUCAGCAUCACCAGGACAUCGACUGAUAAGACAUUACAUCCACUGUACUGAGACAAAAGCCUUGGUCCGUCUGCAGAACACUCACAUCCCUGUCAGAUAGAGUUAAUGAGGGAUAUGUACAAUGGAAUAAUGCAUCACGUUAUGGGACUAUGCUAUUCAGUCUCCAUCUUUUCUUUAUACAGCAUGACAUGUUAAAAACAUAGCAGAAAAAUAGGACACCUUUGUGAUAUAAAAAAUAAAUGAUUUGACGCCACAGAAGUGUCAGAAGUCAAUCACAUACGCUUUAAAGAGUAGACGCAGCGCAAGGCACGGUGUUCUAUGUUCACAUCCUACAGACAACAGAUAGCUCGGUGGAAAAUUAGCUUUUGUUGUUUUGUGACAACAUGUAGUGAAGGAUGCUGGGAUUCCUCAGUCAUCUAUUUUUUUUAAAGUACCAAUGGAUUGGACAACUAAAAGAAAGGCAAAUAGCUUGCAACAGCAAUACGAGAAUUUUGCAGGAUGUCCCGGCAUUGAAAUGUGAAGCAUUUAGCAACGUAACAGAUAUUAUUCUUGUUUUUUGGCUACCUCCCAAUUAGAGGCUUCCACAUUCCAAACCUCUCGUCAGCCUCCUAAAUAGAUUCCUGCUGCUGGUAGAUUAUAAAGGCCAAAGCCCUGAGGCGAUGCUAUUACAUAUUCACCGGCAUAACUAUAGGCCACAGUUCUAGACCUUGUGUCAGGAGCGAUCAGAAAGCAAACAUACUUCCAGCCCUUGUCCCUCUCUUCAUCAAUAAUUCCUUCAGGCCAUGUGAGAUGGCAAGAAGUACCUUUCAGCUUCAUUAUGGUUACUUGAGAGACUUCCAGGCCACGCAUCAGUGGAGGCAGUCUAUUCCUCUGUGGGAAACCCUACCGGUCUAUGGGGAGAAUCAGGGGGAAGCAGUCAGCGGUGGCUGCUCUCUUAGCUGGAAACUUCACUCCUGUGCACUUUUCGUGCAAUCAAUCAUGAAAGAAGGUCAACAGACAGCUUUCAAAUAACUGAUCCAUUUAACUACUGACAUUGAUCUGGACGAGAGAAGUCGAGGUGGGAGGGGUGUAGGAGAACACUGAAACCUAAGCCCCUUGAACUGAAGGAGAAAGACCAAACAUAUACAUCACCGUGAAUCUCACAGUAGUUCACUUUCUAACCUUAAGUGGUGUUUACACUGACAAAGUGAGCCUGUGUACCUAAGUUCCUUUGGGCCUAUUCGGACAAUGCUAUAAUACAAUGAUUGUUCUUAUUGUCAUUGUUUCUGUUUUACCAUCUCCACACCUAGCAGUUGAUACUUUUGCCCUACAAAUAUAAAUAAUUAUAUUUUUCUGCUGUAAAUUCUAAAGAAAAGGAUAUUUCCAAAUAUGAAAGCUAGGGGAAAAAGGAUUACAAUAUAAGAGAGAGUAUAGCGCUCAAGGUUGUAUGGAAUCAAAGUCAAAGUAAAAUAUUAAAUAGCAGAAACCAAUUUAUAAAAUAAUAGGAUAAUAGAACAAAUUAAACUAC
Long non-coding RNA from Hyla sarda, 1542 nucleotides. RefSeq lists it as uncharacterized. The record is from RefSeq and is a predicted model, not a curated record. NCBI's taxonomy places the organism in Eukaryota, Metazoa, Chordata, Amphibia, Anura, Hylidae. The transcript is spliced from 4 exons.